GACGAACGCUGGCGGCGUGCUUAACACAUGCAAGUCGAACGGAAAGGCCCUGCUUUUGUGGGGUGCUCGAGUGGCGAACGGGUGAGUAACACGUGAGUAACCUGCCCUUGACUUUGGGAUAACUUCAGGAAACUGGGGCUAAUACCGGAUAGGAGCUCCUGCUGCAUGGUGGGGGUUGGAACGUUUCGGCGGUUGGGGAUGGACUCGCGGCUUAUCAGCUUGUUGGUGGGGUAGUGGCUUACCAAGGCUUUGACGGGUAGCCGGCCUGAGAGGGUGACCGGCCACAUUGGGACUGAGAGACGGCCCAGACUCCUACGGGAGGCAGCAGUGGGGAAUAUGGCACAAUGGGCGGAAGCCUGAUGCAGCAACGCCGCGUGCGGGAUGACGGCCGUCGGGUUGUAAACCGCUUUCGCCUGUGACGAAGCGUGAGUGACGGUAAUGGGUAAAGAAGCACCGGCUAACUACGUG
This 468-nucleotide ribosomal RNA is filed under the name uncultured bacterium. Its description in RNAcentral is "partial 16S ribosomal RNA". It matches the Rfam family "Bacterial small subunit ribosomal RNA", at positions 28 to 507 of the family's 1533-position model. The record is from RNAcentral.